Molecule: small RNA, 68 nt
Filed under: Segniliparus rotundus DSM 44985
Lineage: Bacteria; Bacillati; Actinomycetota; Actinomycetes; Mycobacteriales; Segniliparaceae
Description: ASdes TB sRNA
Rfam family: ASdes TB sRNA
Source: Rfam by way of RNAcentral
AACGCCACCGGGUCGACGCCCCGGGUGACCACGAGAUAGUCCCGCAUCACCGUCGAGUGGCGGGCCUC